Molecule: ribosomal RNA, 411 nt
Filed under: bacterium enrichment culture clone ALO1_GLFRUDD03GJSTZ
Lineage: Bacteria
Description: bacterial SSU rRNA
Rfam family: Bacterial small subunit ribosomal RNA
Source: RNAcentral
GAGUUUGAUCGUGGCUCAGAUUGAACGCUGGCGGCAUGCCUUACACAUGCAAGUCGAACGGCAGCACGGGAGCUUGCUCCUGGUGGCGAGUGGCGAACGGGUGAGUAAUGCAUCGGAACGUAUCCUGGAGUGGGGGAUAACGUAGCGAAAGUUACGCUAAUACCGCAUAUUCUGUGAGCAGGAAAGCGGGGGACCUUCGGGCCUCGCGCUCUUGGAGCGGCCGAUGUCGGAUUAGCUAGUUGGUGAGGUAAAGGCUCACCAAGGCGACGAUCCGUAGCAGGUCUGAGAGGAUGAUCUGCCACACUGGAACUGAGACACGGUCCAGACUCCUACGGGAGGCAGCAGUGGGGAAUUUUGGACAAUGGGGGCAACCCUGAUCCAGCCGUGCCGCGUGAGUGAAGAAGGCCUCGG